GCUGGAGUAGCUCAGUUGGUAGAGCACGUCCUUGGUAAGGACGGGGUCCCGGGUUCAAUUCCCGGCUCCAGCU
RNAcentral lists this transfer RNA (73 nucleotides) under Candidatus Omnitrophota bacterium. RNAcentral's name for it is "tRNA-Thr". It matches the Rfam family "tRNA". Rfam says of the family: Transfer RNA (tRNA) molecules are approximately 80 nucleotides in length. Their secondary structure includes four short double-helical elements and three loops (D, anti-codon, and T loops). Further hydrogen bonds mediate the characteristic L-shaped molecular structure. tRNAs have two regions of fundamental functional importance: the anti-codon, which is responsible for specific mRNA codon recognition, and the 3' end, to which the tRNAs corresponding amino acid is attached (by aminoacyl-tRNA synthetases). tRNAs cope with the degeneracy of the genetic code in two manners: having more than one tRNA (with a specific anti-codon) for a particular amino acid; and 'wobble' base-pairing, i.e. permitting non-standard base-pairing at the 3rd anti-codon position. Lineage: Bacteria; Pseudomonadati; Candidatus Omnitrophota. The record is from RNAcentral.